This 421-nucleotide ribosomal RNA is filed under the name uncultured bacterium. RNAcentral's name for it is "partial 16S ribosomal RNA". It matches the Rfam family "Bacterial small subunit ribosomal RNA", at positions 360 to 773 of the family's 1533-position model. The record is from RNAcentral.
AAUAUUGGACAAUGGGGGCAACCCUGAUCCAGCCAUGCCGCGUGUGUGAAGAAGGUCUUCGGAUUGUAAAGCACUUUAAGUUGGGAGGAAGGGCAGUAAGUUAAUACGUUGCUGUUUUGACGUUACCGACAGAAUAAGUACCGGCUAACUACGUGCCAGCAGCCGCGGUAAUGCGAAGGGUGCAAGCGUUAAGCGGAAUUAUUGGGCGUAAAGCGCGGGUAGGUGGUUUGUUAAGUUAGAAGUGAAAGCCCCGGGCUCAACCUGGGAACUGCUUUCAAAACUGGCAAGCUAGAGUAUGGCAGAGGGUGGUGGAAUUUCCUGUGUAGCGGUGAAAUGAGUAGAUAUAGGAAGGAACACCAGUGGCGAAGGCGACUACCUGGACUGAUACUGACACUGAGGUGCGAAAGCGUGGGGAGCAAAC